Long non-coding RNA from Populus euphratica (Euphrates poplar), 594 nucleotides. RefSeq lists it as uncharacterized. The transcript has 2 exons. The record is from RefSeq and is a predicted model, not a curated record. Lineage: Eukaryota; Viridiplantae; Streptophyta; Magnoliopsida; Malpighiales; Salicaceae.
GUUUCUUAGCAUGGUUUUGAUUGCUAAUUGUUGAAUGCUAGUGCAAAUGUCAGCACUGUUCGGGUUAUCGUUGUUGUCAAUUGUUGAAUACAAGGGCAAGUGUCAAGUAUGUUUGGGUUCUUUCUGGUAAUUUGUGGGGACUCUUAUUCUUUGUUUUGUAGUUUGGGUUUUGGUUUCUUUGACAGUAUUGUAUGGGGUUCUGCAGUUGUCUAAUUGAUGGUGAAUGUGUGGCUAUUAGGCAGUCAAUGCUCUUAAUUGCUUGCUAGGAGUUGAGCAUAGAGUAAAGUAGUGGAGUUAGCUUGGUAUAACUUUAUAGUGAAAUUGCCGGAUGAUUCGGUGUUUCUUUUGUUUGUGAUCUCGAAGCAUAUGUGAUUCAGCUAUAUUCAUCUUAUUAUUACUUAUAAUGUUCUUUACGUUCCCCCUAGUGCCUAUUUUGUGUUUUUUCAAUUCAUAAUCUGUGAGUUAUUACACGUCUUUUAAGUGUCUAUAUGUACACAGUCAUCAUUACAGGCCUGCUAAUUAAUACAGAAGGCUUUUCUAUUUUAUUGCUAUUUAUAAGGGUUACUGACGCCCCCAUUGCUCAAUAUAUAUAUA